RNAcentral lists this ribosomal RNA (468 nucleotides) under uncultured bacterium. RNAcentral's name for it is "partial 16S ribosomal RNA". It matches the Rfam family "Bacterial small subunit ribosomal RNA", at positions 28 to 507 of the family's 1533-position model. The record is from RNAcentral.
GACGAACGCUGGCGGCGUGCUUAACACAUGCAAGUCGAACGGUGAAGCUCCAGCUUGCUGGAGUGGAUCAGUGGCGAACGGGUGAGUAACACGUGAGCAACCUGCCCCUGACUCUGGAAUAAGCGCUGGAAACGGCGUCUAAUACUGGAUACGAGAAGGGUCCGCAUGGGCACUUUCUGGAAAGUUGUUCGGUUGGGGAUGGGCUCGCGGCCUAUCAGCUUGUUGGUGAGGUAAUGGCUCACCAAGGCGACGACGGGUAGGCGGCCUGGGAGGGCGGCCGGCCACACUGGGACUGAGGCACGGCCCAGACUCCUACGGGAGGCAGCAGUGGGGAAUAUUGCACAAUGGGCGAAAGCCUGAUGCAGCGACGCCGCGUGAGGGAUGACGGCCUUCGGGUUGUAAACCUCUUUCAGCAGGGAAGAAGCGAAAGUGACGGUACCUGCAGAAGAAGCACCGGCUAACUACGUG